AACGAACGCUGGCGGCAUGCCUAACACAUGCAAGUCGAACGAGACCUUCGGGUCUAGUGGCGCACGGGUGCGUAACGCGUGGGAACCUGCCCUUAGGUUCGGAAUAACUCCCCGAAAGGGGUGCUAAUACCGGAUAAUGUCUUCGGACCAAAGAUUUAUCGCCUUUGGAUGGGCCCGCGUUGGAUUAGCUAGUUGGUAGGGUAAAAGCCUACCAAGGCGACGAUCCAUAGCUGGUCUGAGAGGAUGAUCAGCCACACUGGGACUGAGACACGGCCCAGACUCCUACGGGAGGCAGCAGUGGGGAAUAUUGGACAAUGGGCGAAAGCCUGAUCCAGCAAUGCCGCGUGAGUGAUGAAGGCCUUAGGGUUGUAAAGCUCUUUUACCCGGGAUGACAAUGACAGUACCGGGAGAAUAAGCUCCGGCUAACUCCAUG
RNAcentral lists this ribosomal RNA (433 nucleotides) under uncultured bacterium. RNAcentral describes it as "partial 16S ribosomal RNA". It matches the Rfam family "Bacterial small subunit ribosomal RNA", at positions 29 to 507 of the family's 1533-position model. The record is from RNAcentral.